Long non-coding RNA from Neoarius graeffei (lesser salmon catfish), 5194 nucleotides. RefSeq lists it as uncharacterized. NCBI's taxonomy places the organism in Eukaryota, Metazoa, Chordata, Actinopteri, Siluriformes, Ariidae. The record is from RefSeq and is a predicted model, not a curated record. The transcript is spliced from 7 exons.
AAAGAUUAUUUACAAAUAAUUGUUUUCAGUUUUAAUUACAAUUCCAACACACCGUCCCAACAUUUUCUAAUUUGGGGUUGUAAUACAACAAAAAAAUUACCAAACUUCAAAGAAACUGAGACUUGAAAGAUCACAUUGGCAUGUAAAGCAGUUCAUGCUGUUUACACUUAGGGACAUGCUGUUAUUGGAAAAUAAUCAACUUCAGGUGGUAACACUAACUCCUCCUCAUCACACCACAUGUUGGUGAUUAUUUUCUUAUAAGAGCAUGACUCAGUGUUUCAUUUCUUACUUAUCCAAAUCUACACACAGUAUCUCUAGAUUACUGUAAUGGAUUGUACGCCCCAGCCUUAUUUUUGUUUGUCAGAUCAAGCUCUUGGACUCUGAAUCUGUCUGGCUUUUUUCCCUCUCACUGAUCUGAUUGGUCAGUGUUGGAGAACAGGGUGUCGUAUAUCGGAUCUAAUUGGAUGGCUUUAAUGUGGAGGGUCUGGUAGACUGGACUUGAUUGGCUGAAGCUGGGCUCGAGUGUACCACUUUACACAAAUUUCUAGCAAAAGGCUCCAAGGUCAUAGACCAUGUGCUUCUUCCUUCUCAAGCACCCUGCACCUUAAUCUUGGAAAGGAUACUCAACCUUGAGCAACGCCAAUGGCACAGCGUCCCAGAUUUUUUGGAAACAGGUUUUUACUGCUUGCUGUUAUUUGGCCAACAAAAUGAAGGACAGUGGUGUAAGGAGGACAUGAGUGGAGGGGAAAGGUUGACACAUCCAAGUGACUGAAACUGACACACACACUGUACAGUGUGGUCAACAUGUUUCUGACUUCUCGUGCUGUGGGGAAAAAAUGCACUGCUAUGUGUUUCAUAUGUAGAAGAACUAUCGAGGAGACGACGGGGACAACCUCGAACUUCAAUUGCCAUUUGAUUCAGCCUCAGGGGGACCUCCGCCCUACCAAACCACUGAACCCCCCUUUGGAGAAGGAGCCAAGAGCAGCAGAGGCACAGGCAAGCACAAGCAAAGCACACACCACACUCUAAGCAAUCAGCAUGAUGUACCGCCUCUGACUGCUUUCUGUCAAUCAUGAGCAGCCCAGCCGCGUUCACAGCUCCUCCUCCAAUCACCAGCUGGAGAUGAACCUCCUCUCGGGAAGUCUUGUCCCGCCCCUCUUAUUGACUCCCAUCUCCAGUGAGGCUCAGUCUCUGAAUGGAGCGUUUUAGUCAGUUUUGUCCAAUAACCGUCUAGUAUUUUGCUAUUGAAAAGGGCAGAUAUUUUUUAAAAAGCAAUUGAAGUCUAUUCAGGCUCGGCUAGAUUGCGUUGUCACUCUCACUCACUCUCACUCACACUAACUCACUCACUCACUCACACUCUCUCACUCACUCUCACUCACUCACUCACACUCUCUCUCUCACUUACUCUCACUCACUCACACUCCAUCACUCACUCAAACUCUCACUCACUCACUCUCACACACUCUCACUCACUCACACUCUCUCUCUCACUUACUCACUCACUCACUCACUCACACUCCAUCACUCACUCAAACUCUCACUCACUCACUCUCACACACUCUAUCUCACUCACUCACACUCUCUCUUUCUCUCACUCACUCACUCACUCACUCACUCACUCACUCACUCACACUCCAUCACUCACUCAAACUCUCACUCACUCACUCUCACACACUCUCACUCACUCACUCACUCACUCACUCACUCACUCACUCACUCACACUCUCUCUCUCAUUCACUCUCACUCACUCACACUCCAUCACUCACUCAAACUCUCACUCACUCACACUCUCACUCACUCACUCACUCACUCACUCACUCAAACACACACAAAAUACUUUUGUGAUCGUGCAGUUUUGAAAUUGUUAAAAUAAACAUGUUCACCUACAUGUUCAUCUUGUUGGGCUUGUGAUUUUGACUCGUUUCCAAAAUGUAUGAAAAGUCACCAUAUUAGGAUAUUUUUUUUUGGCAAAUAAGAUGUAUCGCAAUGUUUGACCUCGGUAUUUGAAAAAUCCUGGUUACGGCCCUGCUUGUCAUGACUAAUAUUGGGUGUAUUGUCUGUUUACAGUUGCAUUUCUGACAGAGACUAUAUCAGUAUUUAUAAUUUUCCAUAGAUCAUGUAUACACCAGUGUUUUAAAAUACAUGUAUAUAAUUUAUCACUUUUUAUUUGAUGCUAUUUCCUUUCUGUUUUCAGAUCUGAGUGAUCUUUAACAUUGCUCCUGUUCAAAGAUCCAAACUUAUCGUCUCGAGUGUAGAUCGUACUUGUAACAAACUUUUGGUGCUGGAACUCUAUAAAUAGAACUAACAGCUAGUUCCUUAAUAAUAUCGACCAAAAUGUGUUUGGUCCCUGCACCAGGCACAAAUAGAAGGGCACGACAGUAUAAGCUUAGCAUUUGCAGAAUUCAAUGCUAAUAACCUUUAAUAACAUCUGAGACUUCCUCAUACAGAAAAUACUAAAUCCUUGACUGAUCACUAAUUUGAGUCUAUAUUAAAAAUGACUCCUCUAAAGACACAACAAAUUCGAGGGCAUUAAAAAUGGAUGAUUUGGGAUUGAAAAAAGAGAAUGAUGCACAAAUCAGAGGACACUUCACAUGUUUGUAGUGAUUGAAUUAAUGAAACUAUUUACCGAGUUGCAGACCUGUGCUCCCUGUGCUUCAUUUCCAUUCAGGGUCUUAAAGAUAUGAUACUUUUGGUGGGGUAUGGAAUUGAAUCUGCCAUAUUUCUGUAAAUACUCUAUCUAGAGAGCUCCCAUUAUAGAAGUGACCAGGCAAUCUGGUUUAUAAUAAGACCAGCUAGUGAUAGGAGAUGAAUACAUUUGUUUUUUAGGGCCCUAAACCCCACUCGCGAGUGUGUUUUUUCUUAAUUUUUAGCAUUUUUUUGGAAGCACCUAUGGCCAGGAUUUUCUAGAUAGAUGGCUUUGUUUUCCUUCCAGAUUAGCAACAAAUAGAAAGUUAAUUUACCAAAUUUCAAACCUCUGUGUAGCCUAGAAGCUGAGAAAAAUGCAUUUAAAAACCCUGGCGAGGAUUUAGGGGGUACAUUCUAGUCUAAUUUAGUAAUUUUUCAAAAUGGCAUAAAUAAAAAACCUCUCGGUCUAGAAAGCUGAAAUUUUGAAAACUAAUUUAGAUUUACAUAUAUUUUCAUCAGUAACUUCCACCAUUAAAAUAAAAAUAUUGCUGCAACCAAUUAUCUAUAUCUUGGGUCUUUUUGGCUUGGACUUACCCGAAACAUAAAAUAACUGAUCGUGUGUAUGAAAAAGGCUUUGGAUGAAAUGGCCAUGGGAUGAAAUGACCUGUAUUCAUACUUGAGUGUCGGUAGAAGUGUCUUAUCUUCAGAAAAGCCUGACUUUUUUAAAUAAUAUGGGUCAAAACCACACAUCUAUCUUCGCUCAACCGUUCAAAUCGUGGUAAUACUGAGAAAACUCAGCACUGUUUACAGACACACUUUCAGCAGCUGCCAUCAGAGUUGCUUUGUAUAUCCACCAUCAUGGUGGACACUCGUGACAUAGCACAUUUUAAUCACACGGUUGCAAGUCAUCUAUCCCUAACCAUAACCCUCGGCCGGGGCUACACAUAUCCCACCUCAUUCAUGGUAUUAAUUGUGACUCAUAACCAACAUUUCAACUUCAGAAUAUGGCUGCAUUUUCCCAGAAACACACACACACUAAGUACAAUGUUAACCCUUAUGGGCGGCACAGUGGUGUAGUGGUUAGCAUGGUCGCCUCACAGCAAGAAGGUUCUGGGUUCGAACCCAGUGUGCAGCAAGGGCGUUUCUGUGUGGAGUUUGCAUGUUCUCCCCAUGUCUGUGUGGGUUUCCUCCGGGUGCUCCAGUUUCCCCCACAAUCCAAAGACAUGCGGUUAGGUUAAUAUGGGACGGCCUUGGGCUGAGGUGCUCUUGCGCGAGGCACCUAACUCCCAACUGCUCCCCAGGCGCUGUUAGCAUGGCUGCCCAUUGCUCUGGGUAUGUGGGCAUGUGUGUGUUCACUGCUUCAGAUGGGUUAAAUGCAGAGAGGAAAUUUCACAAGUGUGUGAUGAAUAAAGUUGUGCUUUCUUUCUAACACUACUAGUAACUUAUAAAGACUAAGAACACUGUAAUUAAAAUCUGUCACAUAGUUGAUCCAACUUACAACUAUUGAUUAUUUGUUCAAGUUCUGAAUAAGUAACGUAUGUAGUUUUAUUUUUGUGUGGAUCAACAUUUCUGAGUGAACACGAGUUCAAUGAUGUUUUUGAAGUGGACUCAGGGACGUACACUGACGUCAUAAUGUCGCGACACUACCAGAAAAACCUUUCCAACACGGCGGCCACUUUCAGUGGCGGAGUUCACACAGGAGCAACUUAUCAGGAAGCAAAAACUCUUAAAAAUCAUUUGUUUGUUGUAGGAGUUGUAAGGAUAUUAAAAUGAAGAAAAUGUCCGAUUAUUAGAUUUGCUGGUUUUACAUUUAGGGUCAGGUACAAAACGCAGCAGUUGUGCAAUAUUUCAGUGCUUCGCGCACAUUUUUGAGCACCUUUGCGUCACUUCCUGUUAGGGUAACGGUAAUGUGUUAAGGCAGUAUCGUUGUCUUUCACCACACAGGAGUGUAAACACAACUAUUCAUAUUCUUUUCCAACAAGAUCUCAUUACUACUCCUUGCUCUUUGUCACACUGGUCUCAUUUGGUGGGGGAGAUCUGUUGGGAAAAAGUUUGGCUAUUACCACAAAAAUUAUUUUUAUGCCUCCGCCACCUUAAGCUGCAGGAGGCAUUAUGUUUUCGGGUUGUCCGUCCGUCCGUCCCGAAACCUUGUGAACUAAUGAAAGGAAUUUCACGAAACUUUCAUCAUUUGUGCACCUGGGGACAAAGAUGAACUGAUUAGAAUAUGAAGGCCAAAGGUCAAGGUUACUUUGAGGUCACAUGUCUGCCCCAAAACCUUGUGAACAACAAAAUAUUAUCUGUUCUUGUAGACUUCAAGGUCAGGUGGCAUAUCAUAAUUUGCAUAAUGACACUAAACACCAAGUUGACAUUAACUUAAUCACAACUUCAUAAGGCGUGUAGUCUACCAGGCGGAGGCAUCCCCAUCGAUGUCGAGUUCUACCUAGUUGACCAAUAAGAUGAAAGAAAUAUCUUUCAAAAUGCUACAUAGAUUUUAUCCGACCAAUUUUUAUUUGCAGAAAUUUAAAAAAGACAUCAUUGUUAAUUGUUCUUUUUGUGGGGUAGAAAGAG